GUUCAACCAAUGACAUUCCCAGCCUGGCUGCUGUCACAAUAGAAAGAGCAUUACUGUGUAGGUGCUGGAAUAGAAAAGGUUUAUAACAGUAGGAUCUCUCUCUGCAGCAUCUGAGCCCAGAAAACAGAGCCACAAGUGGGGAAGGGUCUCCAUCCCACUGGGGUCCCCUUAUCUUAGAGUGAAUUCAGCAUAUACCCUGGGCUCCAUUGAGUUAGAGGGGGGGAAGGUUCUGAACCCCAUGCUUGAGAUUCUUGGGGUUCAACUGGGUGGACUUUCCUCCAGGGGGUUCCCAGAUGGCUCAGAACUGGGGAACAAGAAGGCAAUGAAAAUGGAUGGGGAGUGUCUGAGAGGCAAUUCUAGUGGAAUGUGUGUCCAAGAAAUAUUUUUCUCUGAGGUUUUUGCCUGGAAAAUCUUCUUCAAGCCUUAA
Molecule: long non-coding RNA, 427 nt
Filed under: Monodelphis domestica (gray short-tailed opossum)
Lineage: Eukaryota; Metazoa; Chordata; Mammalia; Didelphimorphia; Didelphidae
Description: lncRNA (ENSMODG00000037301.1)
Source: RNAcentral